This 523-nucleotide ribosomal RNA is filed under the name uncultured bacterium. Its description in RNAcentral is "bacterial SSU rRNA". It matches the Rfam family "Bacterial small subunit ribosomal RNA", at positions 8 to 518 of the family's 1533-position model. The record is from RNAcentral.
AGAGUUUGAUCAUGGCUCAGGACGAACGCUGGCGGCGUGCCUAACACAUGCAAGUCGAGCGGAGACAUACGACGGAUAGGAAGUUUUCGGAUGGAAUUGAAGAUGUAUGUUUAGCGGCGGACGGGUGAGUAACGCGUGAGCAACCUGUCCUUCACAGGGGGAUAACACAGCGAAAGUUGUACUAAUACCGCAUAAGACCACAGUAUCACAUGGUACAGGGGUCAAAGGAGCAAUCCGGUGAAGGGUGGGCUCGCGUCCGAUUAGAUAGUUGGUGAGGUAACGGCCCACCAAGUCGACGAUCGGUAGCCGACCUGAGAGGGUGAUCGGCCACAUUGGGACUGAGACACGGCCCAAACUCCUACGGGAGGCAGCAGUGGGGAAUAUUGGGCAAAUGGGGGAAACCCUGACCCAGCAACGCCGCGUGAGGGAAGAAGGUUUUCGGAUCGUAAACCUCUGUCCUUGGUGAAGAGGAAGAGACGGUAGCCAAGGAGGAGGCCCCGGCUAACUACGUGCCAGCCGCGGC